Molecule: small RNA, 78 nt
Filed under: uncultured Bolidomonas
Lineage: Eukaryota; Bolidophyceae
Description: partial transfer-messenger RNA
Source: RNAcentral
AAACCAAAUCCAAAAUCAUUAAUCGCAAAAAAUAAUGCCUCCGACCCCUCCUCCCUAAACUCUGAAACCUCCAUAGAC